CCGGCCUGAGAGGGUGACCGGCCACACUGGGACUGAGACACGGCCCAAACUCCUACGGGAGGCAGCAGUGGGGAAUAUUGCACAAUGGGCGCAAGCCUGAUGCAGCGACCCCCCGUGAGGGAUGACGGCCUUCGGGUUGUAAACCUCUUUCAGCAGGGAAGAAGCCUUGCCUUUUUGGGUGGGUGACGGUACUUGCAGAAGAAGCACCGGCUAACUACGUGCCAGCAGCCGCGGUAAUACGUAUGGUGCAAGCGUUGUCCGGAUUUAUUGGGCGUAAAGAGCUCGUAGGCGGCUUGUCGCGUCGAUUGUGAAAGCUCAGGGCUUAACCCUGGGUCUGCAGUCGAUACGGGCAGGCUAGAGUUCGGUAGGGGAGACUGGAAUUCCUGGUGUAGCGGUGAAAUGCGCAUAUAUCAAGAGGAACACCGGUGGCGAAGGCGGGUCUCUGGGCCGAUACUGACGCUGAGGAGCGAAACGUGGGGAGCGAAAGGAUUAGAUCCCUGGUAUGCACGCUGUAACGGUGGGAACUAGGUGUGGGCAGCAUUCCACGUUGUCUGUGCCGUAACUACGCAUUAGUUCCCGCCUGGGGAGUACGGCCGCACGCUAAACUCUAGGGAUUGACGGGGGCCGCACAACGGCGACAUGUGGCUUAUUCGACGCACGCGAAAAACUUACAAGGCUUGAAUACGCCGGAAAUCAUGGAGAAUGGUCCUCUUUGAUCAGUGUCAAGUGUGCAGGGUUCGUCAGCUCGUG
RNAcentral lists this ribosomal RNA (750 nucleotides) under Streptomyces sp. RNAcentral describes it as "bacterial SSU rRNA". It matches the Rfam family "Bacterial small subunit ribosomal RNA", at positions 287 to 1064 of the family's 1533-position model. The record is from RNAcentral. Lineage: Bacteria; Bacillati; Actinomycetota; Actinomycetes; Kitasatosporales; Streptomycetaceae.